UUGAAAUCUGUUGGGCUUCGCCCGCGCAGGUUCGAACCCUGCUGUCGACGAUUUUUACUUUUAUUUCAUUCAAAUCUCAGUUUGGGAGCUGAGAAAAAAACGCAGGAAAAUUUUUCUUUUUUUCUUUCUCAGAAAUAAGCACAAACUAUUUCUUUUUGCUCGCGAAACUUUCUCGGCAACCAAACAGAUCCUCAACUCAGAUGGAAGACAAAACAGCGACCGCGAUAACGAGCCCUAAGAGCACACAAGAGCUGGCCAUGGAUGGCCAGAAGGUUCUGGAAGAAACCAUAGAGUCCGCUUUCCAAAUCCUCACCUCCAUGAACGACGAGCUCUGCAACCCUUCCUUGUGGUGCACCUCCACUAUUUCUUCUGCUGCUACUACGAAUGGUCCUUCCUCUCAAUCCUCAAACGGCGUCGUCCUUAACGGUGACGUGGCUUCUUCCGAUAAUUCCGCGCAUCACGGCGAGAGUGGCGGCGGCGGAAGUGGAGGAGCUCUCGAAGAGGCUCGGGGUCGGUACAAGAACUCGGUGAACUCGCUCCGUACGAUUCUCUCCGCGAUUCCGAACUCGCACAAGUCGAAAGCAUUUGAAAUGGACUCAACUCCAGGCGGCCCGCUAUCCCCAGAGGCUGACAUUGAGAAGUUAGAAGAGCGAGCCUCUAAUCUAAGAAAGGAGCUUGCAAACAAGAACAACUAUCUCAAGGUUCUCAUAGAUCAGCUACGAGAUCUUAUUACUGACAUAUCUACAUGGCAAAGUCCUUGUGCUGUCUGAAGUUCAGGAUGGAUAGCUUCAUCCUAAAUAAUGGUGCCGCCUAAGAAUAGACUUAGCCCAUAUUUCGACAUGAGUCAGGUUGAUCUAUUCCUCAAUACAGCAGCGUCUGAAAACUACAUAAACAUGAGCACCAAUAUGUUUUGCGUGAAUAAGCAAGUGGUUAGCGUUGGCAUCGUAUCAUUUUGCGGCCAGCUCUGUAGCCACAGAGCUACAUGAGAGUGGCAAUGCUGUUAGGACAUUGAUUUAUGCUAUUCUGAUUUGCAUGGGCGGCUGCGGCUAAUUGCUUCGUGGUGUCCCUCAUCCCUAUCUCUUUCUGUCUCUCUCUCCUGGAUAUUUUAUCGAGAUUGAGUAUAUCUGCAUUAAAUCCAACUAAAUUAAUUAUUUUUUA
Quercus robur (English oak) is the source of this 1158-nucleotide RNA transcript. It is a transcript of the gene named mediator of RNA polymerase II transcription subunit 30, with no coding region annotated. The transcript is spliced from 4 exons. The record is from RefSeq and is a predicted model, not a curated record. Lineage: Eukaryota; Viridiplantae; Streptophyta; Magnoliopsida; Fagales; Fagaceae.